Molecule: long non-coding RNA, 1265 nt
Organism: Thrips palmi
Lineage: Eukaryota; Metazoa; Arthropoda; Insecta; Thysanoptera; Thripidae
Exons: 2
Source: RefSeq, a predicted model, not a curated record
GCACACUGGGCGGCACCGGCCGCAGGGACCACGAGGAGCGGGAGCGGGCGCGCCAGCUCGCCGCGCUCGUGCGCAAGUACAGACAGAAGCGCGAGCUGAAGCAGGACUUCACGAUCCACGUGUGACCCUGGUGGACCGUGGACCUGACCCACCUGUCCACGUCCUCUCUCCGUCGCCUCCUCUCUCGGCAGUGACCGCGCAACGCGUCGCAAUCGCCAUGCCCCGAAGGCAGCCAUCGCACUGUUGACUGAUUCCGAGUCGGUUUGUCUCUCUCGCACCCUCGCAGGGCGCGCCAUGAGUGCGAAAGAGAGGGAGAGAGACCUCCCGCUCGGAAUGAGUCCGCCGCGACCGCGCCGCCGCCAUCCCGAAGCCCCCGGCUGAAACCAAUACGCGGUUUUUCAUGAGACUGCACCUUUUACACGACUUCUGUGAUAACAGCAGCCACACUGUGGCUGCGACCGGCGGAGGCUAGCCGUCAAGGUCUUCGCCGGCCUUUUACUAUUUUCUCCAGAGUGCAACCGUUCUGUGAUGUGGUAGAGACUUUUUUAUUUUUGUACAGUUCUAUGUCGAUAUAUCGUGGCGAAUAUCGCGCCUAUACGCAGCGUUGGAUUGUGGAGAGGCCUGUUACUGUCAGAUUGUUUUAUGUCGAGAGCGCUAGUCGUUUCGUUGUUGUGUAGUUGAAUAUUAUCUGAUUGUUGUCUUUGUGUGUUGGGCUCACAGAGUUUAGUAGUGGGAGAAUGAGUGUACGCUGUGUAUGAUUCUGUUGCUGAUGCUGAUCAUUGUCUGAUCCGUACAUAAUACGUAUUUUAUUAAUACUGUAUUUGUUAGUCUUUAUACUAAAUGGAAAUAGGUUUAAGUCGGCAAACUGGCAUGCAGUUGCAGGGACGUUGUUUCUCUGUGGCCUUGCCUCCAGGCGACACCCGUUUCCUUUCCUUCUAGUUUGUAUUGUCGAUUAUGUUCGAUGCCAGGGGGCAACAAAAAAGUCCAAAUGAUGUAAACAUGACCACAAAAUGAACGAUUUUAGUCAAAUUUUAGUCCAUUUUGAUGGCGUAAUGACAUCAUUUGAUGUCGUGGUGACCAGAUUUUGACUAACUGUUCUCCUUGGGACUGUGUGGCUGUCUCCUCGUCUUGUUCUUGAUUGUUGAUGUUAACCGUCCCUCUCCGUGCCUUUCUCGGAAACGCCCUGGGGCCUCGUGCCAACCAUUCCAAGUCGGCUGUAUUGAAAGUGCAUUUUCACUCAGACAAAUAAAAUACCAUUUUUUAAA